Molecule: long non-coding RNA, 1145 nt
Filed under: Marmota monax (woodchuck)
Lineage: Eukaryota; Metazoa; Chordata; Mammalia; Rodentia; Sciuridae
Source: RNAcentral
GGGCUUUAGAGUAAACUGCAGGGGAGGAGGAGAGACUGGGUUGUAGCAGGUCACAUCUAGCCAGAGCUUGCAUGUGUAGAGCCUGCAUUGGCGAGAAAAUUGGGGUCAAGGCUGCCUGGGCGACUGUAACUGAGAUCUGAGUCUGUGGAAAUGGUGUGAGGGAUGCUGAGCUUUUCACAUUGACCCCACUGUGGCUCCCUGCACUUACCACCCUAGUUGAGCUAAAGGCCAUAUGAAGGUUCAACCCAUAGCUGGUAGUUACCACUGACAACGUUCUGAGUGCAACCAAGUUAACUCUUUACAUGCAUCGUCCCCUCCAUCCCAGGCCACUAGAGAACAGAAUGCAUUCUUAAAGUCAUUUUAGAUUUCUCCAGAUUACCAAGCCAAGCUCAUCGGUCUAAGGCACUGAUUUCAUCACCAACUCCAUCUUCCUGAACCUUCAAUGGCUGGCCAGUGCCUUCAGAGCAGAGCCCAGUCAGCUAGCUUGAUGUUUGCAUCUCCCAGUGUCUUGCAAACUUCUUUCCUAAAGAUUCUUCACCCAAGAUAUCUGGCCAGAACAGAGGGCCCUCACUAUUAUCAGAUGAUGCCUCCUCACUCUCUCUCUCUCACUUCCUUGUCUCCACUCAUGGCCUGCAAUGAUCUUCCCCUGUCCCUUCCAGUUCAGCAUCACCUCUUCCGUGAGCCUUUCAUCACAACUUUGACCCCACUGAGAUUUCAUUAAAAGCAAACAAACAAACCCUCCAGCACUCAGGACUGUGGAGAGCCAUUCUCACACGUGACUGGGUGACUCCCGGUUUGGGUCUGAGGCGCUCUGACUAAUCUGUGUCGGAGCUUUCCCGGCCCUCUCCUGAUGAGAGAACCCGUCCGUGUGGGGGUGUGACUGACCACUGACCCUGGGGGCCCAAUCACUGACCCUGACCUUGGAGUGCGGCCCCCCCUCAACCUUCAUUGGAUGGAAUUCUCCCCUGAAUUUCUUGUUCCCCAAUAAAAGGCUACUCCCUGGCGUGCUCUCUCUCUCUCUCUCCUGCUAGCCCUGAGUAAUCCUUGCUGCCCUACGGGUGGUUCGGGUGGUUCGAGGUUGGAGCCAGAGAGGGGAGCUGUCUCGGACCUGGUCAUAGAAAAAGGUAACUGAGUCUGUGUGUUUU